GGCAAUAUGGCCGAGCGGUCUAAGGCGCCAGAAUCAGGCAGGAUGAAAUCCGGUCAUAUCUGGUCCGAAAGGGCGUGGGUUCGAAUCCCACUGUUGUCA
Polyporus arcularius HHB13444 is the source of this 99-nucleotide non-coding RNA. The record is from the annotation of a GenBank genome assembly. Lineage: Eukaryota; Fungi; Basidiomycota; Agaricomycetes; Polyporales; Polyporaceae.